This 447-nucleotide ribosomal RNA is filed under the name uncultured bacterium. RNAcentral describes it as "bacterial SSU rRNA". It matches the Rfam family "Bacterial small subunit ribosomal RNA", at positions 355 to 825 of the family's 1533-position model. The record is from RNAcentral.
UCGGGAAUUUUGGGCAAUGGGCGAAAGCCUGACCCAGCAACGCCGCGUGAAGGAUGAAGUAUUUCGGUAUGUAAACUUCGUAAGAAUAGGAAGAAUAAAUGACGGUACUAUUUGUAAGGUCCGGCUAACUACGUGCCAGCAGCCGCGGUAAUACGUAGGGACCAAGCGUUGUUCGGAUUUACUGGGCGUAAAGGGCGCGUAGGCGGUGUGUCAAGUCAGUUGUGAAAUCUCCGAGCUUAACUCGGAACGGUCAACUGAUACUGUCACACUAGAGUACAGAAGGGGCAAUCGGAAUUCUUGGUGUAGCGGUGAAAUGCGUAGAUAUCAAGAGGAACACCUGAGGUGAAGACGGGUUGCUGGGCUGAUACUGACGCUGAGGCGCGAAAGCUAGGGUAGCAAACGGGAUUAGAUACCCAUGUAGUCCCUGAGCGGGCUGGCAAGGCGCAU